GGGGGAUAUUGCACAAUGGAGGAAACUCUGAUGCAGCAACGCCGCGUGAGGGAAGACGGUCUUCGGAUUGUAAACCUAUGUCCUCGGUGACGAUAAUGACGGUAGCCGAGGAGGAAGCUCCGGCUAACUACGUGCCAGCAGCCGCGGUAAUACGUAGGGAGCGAGCGUUGUCCGGAUUUACUGGGUGUAAAGGGUGCGUAGGCGGCUUUUUAAGUCAGGUGUGAAAGCCAUCGGCUCAACUGAUGGAGUGCAUUUGAAACUGAGGGGCUUGAGUGAAGCAGAGGCAGGCGGAAUUCCCGGUGUAGCGGUGAAAUGCGUAGAGAUCGGGAGGAACACCAGUGGCGAAGGCGGCCUGCUGGGCUUUAACUGACGCUGAGGCACGAAAGCAUGGGUAGCAAACA
Molecule: ribosomal RNA, 401 nt
Filed under: uncultured Oscillospiraceae bacterium
Lineage: Bacteria; Bacillati; Bacillota; Clostridia; Eubacteriales; Oscillospiraceae
Description: bacterial SSU rRNA
Rfam family: Bacterial small subunit ribosomal RNA
Source: RNAcentral